GACGAACGCUGGCGGCGUGCUUAACACAUGCAAGUCGAACGGAAAGGCCCUGCUUUUGUGGGGUGCUCGAGUGGCGAACGGGUGAGUAACACGUGAGUAACCUGCCCUUGACUUUGGGAUAACUUCAGGAAACUGGGGCUAAUACCGGAUAGGAGCUCCUGCUGCAUGGUGGGGGUUGGAAAGUUUCGGCGGUUGGGGAUGGACUCGCGGCUUAUCAGCUUGUUGGUGGGGUAGUGGCUUACCAAGGCUUUGACGGGUAGCCGGCCUGAGAGGGUGACCGGCCACAUUGGGACUGAGAUACGGGCCAGACUCCUACGGGAGGCAGCAGUGGGGAAUAUUGCACAAUGGGGGGAAGCCUGAUGCAGCAACGCCGCGUGCGGGAUGACGGCCUUCGGGUUGUAAACCGCUUUCGCCUGUGACGAAGCGUGAGUGACGGUAAUGGGUAAAGAAGCACCGGCUAACUACGUG
RNAcentral lists this ribosomal RNA (468 nucleotides) under uncultured bacterium. RNAcentral's name for it is "partial 16S ribosomal RNA". It matches the Rfam family "Bacterial small subunit ribosomal RNA", at positions 28 to 507 of the family's 1533-position model. The record is from RNAcentral.